RNAcentral lists this ribosomal RNA (484 nucleotides) under uncultured bacterium. RNAcentral's name for it is "partial 16S ribosomal RNA". It matches the Rfam family "Bacterial small subunit ribosomal RNA", at positions 30 to 507 of the family's 1533-position model. The record is from RNAcentral.
AUUGAACGCUGGCGGCAGGCCUAACACAUGCAAGUCGAGCGGAUGAAGGGAGAUUGCUCCUGGAUUCAGCGGCGGACGGGCGAGUAAUGCCUAGGAAUCUGCCUGGUUGUGGGGGAUAACGUCCGGAAACGGGCGCUAAUACCGCAUACGUGCUGAGGGAGAAAGUGGGGGAUCUUCGGACCUCACGCUAUCAGAUGAGCCUAGGUCGGAUUAGCUAGUUGGUGGGGUAAAGGCCUACCAAGGCGACGAUCCGUAACUGGUCUGAGAGGAUGAUCAGUCACACUGGAACUGAGACACGGUCCAGACUCCUACGGGAGGCAGCAGUGGGGAAUAUUGGACAAUGGGCGAAAGCCUGAUCCAGCCAUGCCGCGUGUGUGAAGAAGGUCUUCGGAUUGUAAAGCACUUUAAGUUGGAAGGAAGGGCAGUAAGUUAAUACCUUGCUGUUUUGACGUUACCAACAGAAUAAGCACCGGCUAACUUCGUG